AGAGGGGAGGAGGAAUGAACUCGGGUUGGCCAUGUAAACGCCCAACCGCUGUGCUGGCUGCCUAGGCGGGAGUCCCCUUCCUCCCUCACAGCUCCAUGUGCGUCUCUCCCGAAGCUGUGCGCUUGGUCAAAGAGAUCGGCCUUCCCCGAAUAGAGACGGACCAAACUGAUAUUCAGGAAUAACCUGUUGUAAGAGAUCCAUUAGACAAGCUAUAGAAAAGGAUGUGGGGUUUUUAUUC
Molecule: small RNA, 238 nt
Filed under: Sorex araneus (European shrew)
Lineage: Eukaryota; Metazoa; Chordata; Mammalia; Eulipotyphla; Soricidae
Description: 7SK RNA (ENSSARG00000018941.1)
Rfam family: 7SK RNA
About the family: 7SK was discovered as an abundant small nuclear RNA in the mid-70s but a possible function has only recently been suggested.
Source: RNAcentral